GUUGUGAUGUGUUAAUGUCCUUCUUUCUUUUGAAUUUGUAUUUAAAGAAAGAAAGUUUGAAUUAGAUUCAAAUACUAAAAAUCAACUAGAUAUAAAAGAUAAUUUUUUUAAAAAAAUAAAUAAAAGGUAAUUAAGCAAUUAAAGUAAUUUAACUAGUAAUAAAAUGUAAGUUACUAAUCAGCAAAAUAAAGUAAGAGAAGCAAGAGUGCAAA
RNAcentral lists this long non-coding RNA (212 nucleotides) under Elaeis guineensis (African oil palm). RNAcentral describes it as "long non-coding RNA (EGUI_LNC038937)". Lineage: Eukaryota; Viridiplantae; Streptophyta; Magnoliopsida; Arecales; Arecaceae. The record is from RNAcentral.